RNAcentral lists this ribosomal RNA (768 nucleotides) under uncultured bacterium. RNAcentral's name for it is "bacterial SSU rRNA". It matches the Rfam family "Bacterial small subunit ribosomal RNA", at positions 98 to 882 of the family's 1533-position model. The record is from RNAcentral.
GCGAACGGGUGAGUAACGCGUGAGGAACCUGCCUCAAAGAGGGGGACAACAGUUGGAAACGACUGCUAAUACCGCAUAAGCCCACGGGUCGGCAUCGACCAGAGGGAAAAGGAGCAAUCCGCUUUGAGAUGGCCUCGCGUCCGAUUAGCUGGUUGGUGAGGUAACGGCCCACCAAGGCGACGAUCGGUAGCCGGACUGAGAGGUUGAACGGCCACAUUGGGACUGAGACACGGCCCAGACUCCUACGGGAGGCAGCAGUGGGGAAUAUUGCACAAUGGGGGAAACCCUGAUGCAGCGACGCCGCGUGGAGGAAGAAGGUCUUCGGAUUGUAAACUCCUGUUGUUGAGGAAGAUAAUGACGGUACUCAACAAGGAAGUGACGGCUAACUACGUGCCAGCAGCCGCGGUAAAACGUAGGUCACAAGCGUUGUCCGGAAUUACUGGGUGUAAAGGGAGCGCAGGCGGGAAGACAAGUUGGAAGUGAAAUCCAUGGGCUCAACCCAUGAACUGCUUUCAAAACUGUUUUUCUUGAGUAGUGCAGAGGUAGGCGGAAUUCCCGGUGUAGCGGUGGAAUGCGUAGAUAUCGGGAGGAACACCAGUGGCGAAGGCGGCCUACUGGGCACCAACUGACGCUGAGGCUCGAAAGUGUGGGUAGCAAACAGGAUUAGAUACCCUGGUAGUCCACACCGUAAACGAUGAUUACUAGGUGUUGGAGGAUUGACCCCUUCAGUGCCGCAGUUAACACAAUAAGUAAUCCACCUGGGGAGUA